CCUACGGGUGGCAGCAGUGAGGAAUAUUGGUCAAUGGGAGAGAUCCUGAACCAGCAAAGCCGCGUGAGGGAAGACGGCCCUAUGGGUUGUAAACCUCUUUUGUCGGAGAACAAAACCCGGGGCGUGUCCCGGACUGCGUGUACCCGAAGAAAAAGCAUCGGCAAACACCGUGCCAGCAGCCGCGGUAAGACGGAGGAUGCGAGCGUGAUACGGAUUGGUUGGGUUUAAAGGGUGCGUAGGCGGGCCGUUAAGUCAGCGGUAAAAUUGCGGGGCUCAACCCCGUCGAGCCGUUGAAACUGGCAGACUUGAGUUGGCGAGAGGUACGCGGAAUGCGCGGUGUAGCGGUGAAAUGCAUAGAUAUCGCGCAGAACUCCGAUUGCGAAGGCAGCGUACUGGCGCCAGACUGACGCUGAGGCACGAAAGCGUGGGGAUCGAACAGGAUUAGAUACCCGUGUAGUC
RNAcentral lists this ribosomal RNA (459 nucleotides) under uncultured bacterium. RNAcentral's name for it is "partial 16S ribosomal RNA". It matches the Rfam family "Bacterial small subunit ribosomal RNA", at positions 338 to 795 of the family's 1533-position model. The record is from RNAcentral.